GUUAGUUACUACCAUUCAGUUGAGGACUCUAAUGAGACUGCCAACGACAAGUUGGAGAAGGUGGGGAUGACGUCAAAUCAUCAUGCCCUUUAUGACCUGGGCUACAAACGUACUACAAUGGGCCCAAAGUACAAAGGGUCGCGAACCCGCGAGGGGGAGCCAAUCCCAAAAAGCCGCUCUCAGUUCGGAUUGCAGGCUGCAACUCGCCUGCAUGAAGCCGGAAUCGCUAGUAAUCGCGGAUCAGCAUGCCGCGGUGAAUACGUUCCCGGGCCUC
RNAcentral lists this ribosomal RNA (274 nucleotides) under uncultured Anoxybacillus sp. RNAcentral describes it as "partial 16S ribosomal RNA". It matches the Rfam family "Bacterial small subunit ribosomal RNA", at positions 1110 to 1381 of the family's 1533-position model. The record is from RNAcentral. Lineage: Bacteria; Bacillati; Bacillota; Bacilli; Caryophanales; Anoxybacillaceae.